Molecule: non-coding RNA, 28 nt
Filed under: Cricetulus griseus (Chinese hamster)
Lineage: Eukaryota; Metazoa; Chordata; Mammalia; Rodentia; Cricetidae
Source: RNAcentral
ACUCUGAGGAGAGCGUUCCGGCGGACGG